AGAAAUGUUUUUUAUAGCAAGAAAGAAUUUAAUAAGAGGAAGAAAAGAAAGAAUGACUCACGGUUUGUUUGGCUGGCCAGCCGCGUGGCGUGGGCACAGAGGAAGCUUAAUAAAAAAGGAAAAAGAUUCACGGCCUUAUCUUGUAGCUCUAGGAGGUCUUUGCCGCUUAUCUUCGUUCCCCUGACAAAUCCAUGCUACACUUCUUCACCAUCCAUGGAGCAGAUGUGGCCUGGCCAGCCCCUGCGGAGGUAGCAGCACUGGCGCGCUUGGCCGAAAGAUGUGGCCGGCGGCGCGGGCGCAUCUGGCCGCAUUUGCGAGGGAGGCGACGGUGCCGGCACCACGGCCAGCAAGCAUGGAGGCAGCGCUCAUCCUUCUCCUCUUCUCCUCCAUGGUGAAUCGGGCCUGGCCAGCCCCUGCGGAGGCAGCAGCACUGGCGCGCUUGGCCGAAAGAUGUGGCUGGCGGCGCGGGCGCAUCUGGCUGUGCUUGCGGGGGAGGCGACGGUGCGGGCACCAUGGCCAGCAAGCACGGAGGCGGCGGCACGGGUCCUCUUUGAUUCUUUAUCUAUUUUUCUCGUUUGAUCUCCUCUUCGGCUCUGAUUCGGAUUUGUAUCUAUACUAUAUCCUGAACAUAUCGUAUUGGAGAUAGAAGACAUGAAUCGUCUGAUUUCGGACAGAAAUCCUAGCAGACUAAAACUUUGACUUCCAAUGAGGACGGCACGGACGGGCGGGCGGACGCGGACGCGGACGGGCAGGCAGAAGAAUAGGGAGGCAGACUGAAAUUUUGGCUCUUUAUAGAUAGGUAUAGAUUUGUAAAGGGUGAAAACAGUAUCAAUAUUUUCUUAUCAUAUUCGAGAUUGAAUAUGUUAAGAGUAGUUGAGAUCUGUUCGUAUGCGAAGCUGGAUGUUUUCAACAUCGGAUACUAUAUGCUUAUUUGAGUACUGAAAUUGCAUA
This is a long non-coding RNA of Sorghum bicolor (sorghum), 951 nucleotides long. RefSeq lists it as uncharacterized. The record is from RefSeq and is a predicted model, not a curated record. Lineage: Eukaryota; Viridiplantae; Streptophyta; Magnoliopsida; Poales; Poaceae. The transcript has 2 exons.